This 499-nucleotide ribosomal RNA is filed under the name uncultured bacterium. Its description in RNAcentral is "partial 16S ribosomal RNA". It matches the Rfam family "Bacterial small subunit ribosomal RNA", at positions 30 to 523 of the family's 1533-position model. The record is from RNAcentral.
AUUGAACGCUGGCGGAAUGCUUUACACAUGCAAGUCGAACGGCAGCACGGACUUCGGUCUGGUGGCGAGUGGCGAACGGGUGAGUAAUACAUCGGAACGUGCCCAGUCGUGGGGGAUAACGUAGCGAAAGCUACGCUAAUACCGCAUACGAUCUACGGAUGAAAGCGGGGGAUCGCAAGACCUCGCGCGAUUGGAGCGGCGGAUGGCAGAUUAGGUAGUUGGUAGGGUAAGGCCUACCAAGCCGACGAUCUGUAGCUGGUCUGAGAGGAUGAUCAGCCACACUGGGACUGAGACACGGCCCAGACUCCUACGGGAGGCAGCAGUGGGGAAUUUUGGACAAUGGACGCAAGUCUGAUCCAGCCAUUCCGCGUGCAGGAUGAAGGCCCUCGGGUUGUAAACUGCUUUUGUACAGAACGAAAAGGCUCUGGUUAAUACCUGGGGCUCAUGACGGUACUGUAAGAAUAAGCACCGGCUAACUACGUGCCAGCCGCCGCCGUAA